GGUUCCUACGGGGGGCAGCAGUGGGGAAUAUUGGACAAUGGGGGGAACCCUGAUCCAGCGACGCCGCGUGAGUGAAGAAGUAUUUCGGUAUGUAAAGCUCUAUCAGCAGGGAAGAAAGAAAUGACGGUACCUGAAUAAGAAGCCCCGGCUAACUACGUGCCAGCAGCCGCGGUAAUACGUAGGGGGCAAGCGUUAUCCGGAUUUACUGGGUGUAAAGGAAGCGUAGACGGCAGAGCAAGUCUGAAGUGAAAGCCCGCGGCCCA
This 263-nucleotide ribosomal RNA is filed under the name uncultured bacterium. RNAcentral describes it as "partial 16S ribosomal RNA". It matches the Rfam family "Bacterial small subunit ribosomal RNA", at positions 334 to 611 of the family's 1533-position model. The record is from RNAcentral.